UACGUAGGUGGCAAGCGUUAUCCGGAUUUACUGGGUGUAAAGGGCGUGUAGGCGGGGACGCAAGUCAGAUGUGAAAACCACGGGCUCAACCUGUGGCCUGCAUUUGAAACUGUGUUUCUUGAGUACUGGAGAGGCAGACGGAAUUCCUAGUGUAGCGGUGAAAUGCGUAGAUAUUAGGAGGAACACCAGUGGCGAAGGCGGUCUGCUGGACAGCAACUGACGCUGAGGCGCGAAAGCGUGGGUAGCAAACAGG
Molecule: ribosomal RNA, 253 nt
Filed under: uncultured bacterium
Lineage: Bacteria
Description: partial 16S ribosomal RNA
Rfam family: Bacterial small subunit ribosomal RNA
Source: RNAcentral